GGCAGGGCCGUACACAGCGGGGGGGGGGGGCAGGGGGGCAACUGCCUUCCCCCCAGAGAAAAAUAUGUUUACAAUUUUUGGAAUGACAUUAUUAAUUAUUCUUUGGGUAUUUGGGACUUUUCCAGACCUAAAAUUUCCAGACCUAAAUUCUACAGAUCUUGGUCGAAAAAACGGGUUUUACCCAUGUUUUAACGGGAAUUUGUCCGGAAAAAUUUUUUUGAAC
Molecule: non-coding RNA, 223 nt
Organism: Paramuricea clavata
Lineage: Eukaryota; Metazoa; Cnidaria; Anthozoa; Malacalcyonacea; Plexauridae
Source: the annotation of a GenBank genome assembly